UGAGUGCGAGCUGCUACGGCAGCGAAGUGGGUGACGUCAAGCUUCCAAGAAAAGCCCUAGACCCGUUAAGGCAUGAUUGCCUGUACCCGAAACCGACACAGGUGGGGUGGUAGAGAAUACCGAGGGGCGCGAGGUAACUCUCUCUAAGGAACUCGGCAAAAUGGCCCCGUAACUUCGGGAGAAGGGGUGCCAGCGAGAGCUGGUCGCAGUGAAGAGGCCCAGGCGACUGUUUACCAAAAACACAGGUCUCCGCUAAGUCGCAAGACGAUGUAUGGGGGCUGACGCCUGCCCAGUGCCGGAAGGUUAAGGAAGCUGGUCAGCGCAAGCGAAGCUGGCGACUGAAGCCCCGGUGAACGGCGGCCGUAACAAUAACGGUCCUAAGGUAGCGAAAUUCCUUGUCGGGUAAGUUCCGACCCGCACGAAAGGCGUAACGAUCUGGGCGCUGUCUCGGAGAGAGGCUCGGCGAAAUAGAAUUGUCUGUGAAGAUGCGGACUACGUGCACCCGGACAGAAAGACCCUAUGAAGCUUUACUGUAGCUUGGUAUUGUGCUCGGGCUCGGAAUGCGCAGGAUAGGUGGGAGGCAUUGAUCCAUUGCUUGCGGGUGAUGGUGAGCCACUGGUGAGAUACCACUCUUUUCGAGCUUAAGUUCUAACGGCCACCCGUUAUCCGGGGGCCGGACAGUAUCAGGUGGGCAGUUUGACUGGGGCGGUCGCCUCCUAAAAGGUAACGGAGGCGCGCAAAGGUCUGCUCAGGCUGGUUGGAAAUCAGCCGACGAGUGUAAAAGCAGAAGCAGGCUUGACUGUGAGACCUACAAGUCGAACAGGGAGGAAACUCGGCUUUAGUGAUCCGACGGUUCUGCGUGGAAGGGCCGUCGCUCAACGGAUAAAAGUUACUCUAAGGAUAACAGGCUGAUCUCCCCCAAGAGUUCACAUCGACGGGGAGGUUUGGCACCUCGAUGUCGGCUCAUCGCAACCUGGGGCUGAAGUCGGUCCCAAGGGUUGGGCUGUUCGCCCAUUAAAGCGGUACGCGAGCUGGGUUCAGAACGUCGUGAGACAGUUCGGUCCAUAUCCGGUGCACGCGCAGGAAUAUUGAGAGGAUUUCUCCCUAGUACGAGAGGACCGGGAGGAACGCACCUCUGGUGUGCCAGUUAUCGUGCCAACGGUAAACGCUGGGUAGCCAUGUGCGGAGAGGAUAACCGCUGAAAGCAUCUAAGUGGGAAGCCCACCUCAAGAUGAGUAUUCCCAUGGCGUUAAGCCAGUAAGGUCACGGGAAGAACACCCGUUGAUAGGCUCUAUGUGGAAGCGCAGUAAUGCGUGAAGCAGAGGAGUACUAAUAGACCGAGGGCUUGACCGC
This 1353-nucleotide ribosomal RNA is filed under the name metagenome. RNAcentral describes it as "bacterial LSU rRNA". It matches the Rfam family "Bacterial large subunit ribosomal RNA", at positions 1564 to 2925 of the family's 2925-position model. The record is from RNAcentral.